GGGGGUGUAUGUGGAGUAAUUUCAUUCAGAAAAAUGCGGCAUCGACGAAGACACGCCCACUGCGGUCCACCGCCAUUGUUGUGCUCCUUUUUGAACUGUCCACGGUCCUGAAACGCAGUAAUGACUCAUGGGUGCAUUCGACGGCCACUUCAUUAGUGUGAAGUCCAAGGUCACGGAACAAAUAUGAGAAAGGCAGAGAGGCUUCCCCGGCUUGACGGCGAGCGUGGGUGCCCGCAUCACCAGUGGGCGGGGCUACCGCGUGGAAGGGAAUCACGACCAUAUAAGGACAAUUCCUGCCUGUGAGGUGACGUCGUCGGCGCGUGACUCUCCCAAAUCACCUUCACUCACGUAUGCACAUUUGCGU
Hippocampus zosterae (dwarf seahorse) is the source of this 364-nucleotide long non-coding RNA. RefSeq lists it as uncharacterized. The record is from RefSeq and is a predicted model, not a curated record. The transcript is spliced from 3 exons. Lineage: Eukaryota; Metazoa; Chordata; Actinopteri; Syngnathiformes; Syngnathidae.